UCCUCUUCACCCUCUACACCACAGACUUCAGCCACUGCACAGAGACCUCCAUCUUCAGAAGUUUUCUGAUGACUGGAUGGCAGGACAUGAUCCAUCUUGAAGACUCCAAAGGAAUGUCUCCUCUCUAACAGGAGGAUGGAUAAUAGUGCCUGUAAUGCUACCAUGUGUAACACAGCGGGUGCACACAAGCUUCCUCUGACAAAGCCAGAGGCCAACUGAGCACAUAGCCCCUCCCCCCACAGUUGGCUCCGAGGCUGACUGUCAUGAAACAGUCAUGAAUCAAUUACAUCAUAACACUUAAAGGCAAUUGUUGCGCAUAGUCUAUAGGGCUUUGGAGUUGACGUCAUGCCGCAGAGCGCGGCGCCAUUUUCGGGGUCUACGAAUCAAAAGAGACACUGUGUUGGAACGACGUCGACAAGAAUCAUGCUUAAAAGCAGCUCCAAAGAAAACGGACGGUAUAGAGACCGAAUGCGUCCAGAGGCGAAGCGGCGGUACUUGCAGAAAAUAGCGUGCAUUGGAAAUGUGGACCCGUAUGAAAUACGGCCGUGGAGUAGAAACCCUGAAGACCAACCGCUACUGACAUAGCCUCACAUAUUUUCGUACCUUAUCUGUGCAGUCAGCGAGUACAAGUCCUCAUCCAAACAAAGUGAUUAUGCAACCUGGAAGCAACACGAGGUAGCUCGUGUAUCGGAUGUUACCAAACGAAGGCGUCUAGCCUGGAUAGCAGCUGUGAGACGAGCUGAUAUCCAGCUCUCUUCCAUCUCCAAAUAUCUGUUGGUGCUCCAUUUUCAUUCCGG
Long non-coding RNA from Oreochromis niloticus (Nile tilapia), 797 nucleotides. RefSeq lists it as uncharacterized. The transcript has 2 exons. The record is from RefSeq and is a predicted model, not a curated record. NCBI's taxonomy places the organism in Eukaryota, Metazoa, Chordata, Actinopteri, Cichliformes, Cichlidae.